CUACGGGACGCAGCAGUAGGGAAUAUUGGACAAUGGGCGGAAGCCUGAUCCAGCCAUGCCGCGUGCAGGAAGACGGCCCUCUGGGUUGUAAACUGCUUUUAUAUGGGAAGAAAAUGGCUUUGCGAAGCAAAUUGACGGUACCAUAGGAAUAAGCCACGGCUAACUACGUGCCAGCAGCCGCGGUAAUACGCAGGUGGCGAGCGUUAUCCGGAUUUAUUGGGUUUAAAGGGUGCGUAGGCGGCUUUAUAAGUCGGUGGUGAAAGGUAGCAGCUUAACUGUUUUACAUGCCAUCGAUACUGAAGAGCUUGAGUUAUCAGAAGGCAGGCGGAAUUUCUGGUGUAGCGGUGAAAUGCAUAGAUACCAGAAGGAACACCUAUUGCGAAGGCAGCUUGCUGCAGAUAAACUGACGCUGAUGCACGAAAGCGUGGGGAGCGAACAGGAUUAGAUACCCCAGUAGUC
This 459-nucleotide ribosomal RNA is filed under the name uncultured bacterium. RNAcentral's name for it is "partial 16S ribosomal RNA". It matches the Rfam family "Bacterial small subunit ribosomal RNA", at positions 339 to 795 of the family's 1533-position model. The record is from RNAcentral.